This 445-nucleotide ribosomal RNA is filed under the name uncultured bacterium. RNAcentral describes it as "bacterial SSU rRNA". It matches the Rfam family "Bacterial small subunit ribosomal RNA", at positions 330 to 792 of the family's 1533-position model. The record is from RNAcentral.
GCCAGACUCCUACGGGAGGCAGCAGUGGGGGAUAUUGCACAAUGGGGGAAACCCUGAUGCAGCGACGCCGCGUGAGCGAUGAAGUAUUUCGGUAUGUAAAGCUCUAUCAGCAGGGAAGAAAAUGACGGUACCUGACUAAGAAGCCCCGGCUAACUACGUGCCAGCAGCCGCGGUAAUACGUAGGGGGCAAGCGUUAUCCGGAUUUACUGGGUGUAAAGGGAGCGUAGACGGCAGUGCAAGUCUGAAGUGAAAGGCAAGGGCUCAACCCUUGGACUGCUUUGGAAACUGUGCUGCUGGAGUGUCGGAGAGGCAAGUGGAAUUCCUAGUGUAGCGGUGAAAUGCGUAGAUAUUAGGAGGAACACCAGUGGCGAAGGCGACUUUCUGGACUGUACCUGACGCUGAGGCGCGAAAGCGUGGGUAGCGAACGGGAUUAGAUACCCCGGUA